Molecule: ribosomal RNA, 453 nt
Filed under: uncultured bacterium
Lineage: Bacteria
Description: bacterial SSU rRNA
Rfam family: Bacterial small subunit ribosomal RNA
Source: RNAcentral
UACGGAAGGCAGCAGUGGGGAAUAUUGCACAAUGGGCGCAAGCCUGAUGCAGCCAUGCCGCGUGUAUAGAAAAGGCCUUCGGGUUGUAAAGUACUUUCAGUCGUGAGGAAGGUGUUAAGGUUAAUAACCUUAGCAAUUGACGUUAGCGACAGAAGAAGCACCGGCUAACUCCGUGCCAGCAGCCGCGGUAAUACGGAGGGUGCGAGCGUUAAUCGGAAUUACUGGGCGUAAAGGGCACGCAGGCGGUUAAUUAAGUUGGAUGUGAAAUCCCCGGGCUUAACCUGGGAAUGGCAUUCAAGACUGGUUAGCUAGAGUCUUGUAGAGGGGGUAGAAUUCCAUGUGUAGCGGUGAAAUGCGUAGAGAUGUGGAGGAAUACCGGUGGCGAAGGCGGCCCCUGGACAAAGACUGACGCUCAUGUGCGAAAGCGUGGGGAGCAAACAGGGAUUAGAUACC